AGAGAGAGACAUGCGCGCAUAUCAAUAAGCGGAGGAAAAGAAACUAACAAGGAUUCCCCUAGUAACGGCGAGUGAAGCGGGAAGAGCUCAAAUUUGAAAUCUUAAAGGGUUUCCCUUUACGAAUUGUAGUUUAAAGAAGUGUUUUCUGUUGAGGUUUUGGUAAAAGUUCUUUGGAAUAGGACAUCAUAGAGGGUGAGAAUCCCGUAUUUGACCUUUACUUUCAACUUUGUGAUACACUUUCAAAGAGUCGGAUUGUUUGGGAAUGCAGUCCAAAAUGGGUGGUAAAUUUCAUCUAAAGCUAAAUAUUGGCGAGAGACCGAUAGCGAACAAGUACCGUGAGGGAAAGAUGAAAAGAACUUUGAAAAGAGAGUUAAACAGUACGUGAAAUUGUCAAAAGGGAAGCGUUUGACACCAGUGUUGUUUUUCUGAAAAUCAAUUAAAGAACUGUUUAUGCUAAGUUGUUUAGACUUUAUCAGCUAACUGUUUAGUUUUGAGCUUUUCUUUAAUGCACUUUUCAGCUAACAAGUCAACAUCAAUUUCUUUUGCUGUAAAAAAGCUUAAGGAAGGUGGCUUGAGAUUCGUCUUAAGUGUUUAUAGCCUCUUGCCUAUGCAGUCGGAGAGAUUGAGGUCUGCAGCGUAGAUCCUUCGGGGCUAAAUGCAUUUGUGCUAAGUUAUAGCAUUUUAUAGACAACUUGUUGACUAUGAUUUGUCUUGUAGCUUACUCGCUUAUGUUAUUUUACCUACGCUUAGGAUGUUGAGCGCAUGUCUCUCUCU
This 774-nucleotide ribosomal RNA is filed under the name uncultured Neocallimastigales. Its description in RNAcentral is "partial large subunit ribosomal RNA". It matches the Rfam family "Eukaryotic large subunit ribosomal RNA", at positions 23 to 616 of the family's 3401-position model. Lineage: Eukaryota; Fungi; Neocallimastigomycota; Neocallimastigomycetes; Neocallimastigales. The record is from RNAcentral.